Molecule: transfer RNA, 30 nt
Filed under: Alloberberis trifoliolata
Lineage: Eukaryota; Viridiplantae; Streptophyta; Magnoliopsida; Ranunculales; Berberidaceae
Also listed under: 7 other names
Description: partial tRNA-His
Source: RNAcentral
GGCGGAUGUAGCCAAGUGGGUUAAGGCAGU